UUUUGGGUCGCUGCGCUUGCGCAAAGCGAGCCAAAGUUAUAAGCUACAUCUCAGGCUUACUGCGAACCGAAUUUCGGCUGAAUUAUACAUGCACGUAGUAAAUAGUUCCAUAUUGUCGGUAACAAGUUAGAAAAUCCGUACCUUCAUUCAUUACAGGAGGGUUAUCAUACAUUUUGAAAUGUAUUAUGAUAACGAAAAUUACAGUAAAUUUGUGCUGUGUACAGAAAAAAUAUCAAUGCGCGAUUGAAUCACGUGACAGGUCACUGAGGUCAGCCAUGCUUCUUCCACAGCUUGAUUCGACUUUCGUUAUUUGAUACAGACAUCCAGGAUAUUUUGAAGAAAUUGUGUGUGAUAUAAUAAACUGUUGUGUGAGGUUUUAAAUGUGACAUGGUCAAGACAUACUAUGAUAGUAUUGUUCAGUGUGACUUCUGUCAUGUUACUGUUUGAUAACAGUGAAGGUACAGUACAUGUAGGUUCAGACAAGUUAUAUACAUGUAUACAGGACAAGAUAGCUCAAACUGGUAGUUUGUUAUAGCAAAAAGUGAUGAAGUUUCAGCCAUGAAGUCUUCAUCGUGAUGAUGAUCAUCAUGAUCCUAUUUAUAGAUUCUUUGCAAUUAUCUGUAAGGAAGAGGUUUCUGCUGCAGAGAAGAAAAAAAUUCAUACAGUAAGAAGCUGCCCACUCUGUUCAAAUGAAGCUGUCUGAAGUACCAAGUAGAACAAUGUAUUAUUUCUGGAACAACUUAAUUGAAGUGAAGCUUACUAUGUGAAGGAGUUAUUUCUGUAUUCAAAAGGAAACUUCAGCAUACAGAAUACCAAUUUAGAUAUUUGUAGCUUCAGUUAUGGGAGUACACAAGAUUAAUUGAACUGGAAUCCCUUCAGACGUUGACAUAGCUAAAUUUCGCAGUUUCAACUAUAAAUGGACAUUAAAUUAAUAUACAUUGGUUUUAU
This is a long non-coding RNA of Ruditapes philippinarum (Manila clam), 948 nucleotides long. RefSeq lists it as uncharacterized. The record is from RefSeq and is a predicted model, not a curated record. The transcript is spliced from 5 exons. NCBI's taxonomy places the organism in Eukaryota, Metazoa, Mollusca, Bivalvia, Venerida, Veneridae.